CUCCUGUUCUUUGCUCCAUGAGAAAGAUCCACCUAUCACCUCAGGUCCUCAGACCGACCAGCCCAAGGAACAUCUCACCAAUUUUAAAUCAGAUUUUCUCGUCUUAGCGGCUGAAGACUGACACUGCCUGAUCACCUCGGAAGCCCCCUAGACCAUCACGGACGCCAAGCUUCGGGUAACUCUCACAGUGGAAGACGCGCAUGAAAGAAAAGAAAGAGAGAAAGUGAAAGAAAGAGAGGAAGGAAGGAUGGAAGGAAGGAAGGACUAUCUCUAUUUCUGGCCUUGAUUGCUCAAGAUGGCAGAAACUAGGACAGCUGACAACUCCUGGACUUACAUUCUCAUGGAUUCAUCAACCAGAUAAAGAUCUUUCUUUGGGGGUCAAAUUUGAAAAAUCUGGAGAAGGACUUCAACUGGCUCCACUUGAGUCAUGUGGCUAUCUCUGGAUGGACCACUGUAAGGGU
Long non-coding RNA from Pan troglodytes (chimpanzee), 461 nucleotides. RefSeq lists it as uncharacterized. The record is from RefSeq and is a predicted model, not a curated record. The transcript has 4 exons. Lineage: Eukaryota; Metazoa; Chordata; Mammalia; Primates; Hominidae.